GCCGGAGUGGCGGAAUGGCAGACGCGCUAGACUCAAAAUCUGGUGUACCCCGUACGUGUGGGUUCAAGUCCCACCUCCGGUACCA
RNAcentral lists this transfer RNA (85 nucleotides) under Lentisphaerota bacterium. RNAcentral describes it as "Lentisphaerae bacterium (feces metagenome) tRNA-Leu". It matches the Rfam family "tRNA". Rfam says of the family: Transfer RNA (tRNA) molecules are approximately 80 nucleotides in length. Their secondary structure includes four short double-helical elements and three loops (D, anti-codon, and T loops). Lineage: Bacteria; Pseudomonadati; Lentisphaerota. The record is from RNAcentral.